GGAGGGGUAUCGUAACUGGUAACGAACUGGUCUUGAAAACCAGCGCCCUUGCGGGCUUGCGGGUUCGAUACGAUACCCCUCCGCCA
RNAcentral lists this transfer RNA (86 nucleotides) under Bacillota bacterium. RNAcentral describes it as "tRNA-Ser". It matches the Rfam family "tRNA". From Rfam's summary of the family: Transfer RNA (tRNA) molecules are approximately 80 nucleotides in length. Their secondary structure includes four short double-helical elements and three loops (D, anti-codon, and T loops). The record is from RNAcentral. Lineage: Bacteria; Bacillati; Bacillota.